UAGGGAAUAUUGGUCAAUGGAUGGAAGUCUGAACCAGCCAUGCCGCGUGCAGGAAGAAGGCCUUCUGGGUUGUAAACUGCUUUUGCCAGGGGAUAAAAUGCUUGUGCGCAAGCAAUUGAAGGUACCUGGUGAAUAAGCCACGGCUAACUACGUGCCAGCAGCCGCGGUAAUACGUAGGUGGCAAGCGUUGUCCGGAUUUAUUGGGUUUAAAGGGUGCGUAGGCGGUCUAUUAAGUCAGUGGUGAAAUACUCCAGCUUAACUGGAGGGGUGCCAUUGAUACUGAUGGACUUGAGUGAAGUCGAGGUAGGCGGAAUUGACGGUGUAGCGGUGAAAUGCUUAGAUAUCGUCAAGAACACCAAUAGUGAAGACAGCUUACUAGGCUUAUACUGACGCUGAGGCACGAAAGUGUGGGGAUCAAACAG
RNAcentral lists this ribosomal RNA (422 nucleotides) under uncultured bacterium. Its description in RNAcentral is "bacterial SSU rRNA". It matches the Rfam family "Bacterial small subunit ribosomal RNA", at positions 355 to 775 of the family's 1533-position model. The record is from RNAcentral.